GAUGAAGAACGCAGCGAAAUGCGAUAAGUAGUGUGAAUUGCAGAAUUUAGUGAAUCAUCGAAUCUUUGAACGCACAUUGCGCCCUUUGGUAUUCCUUAGGGCAUGCCUGUUCGAGCGUCAUCUACACCCUCAAGCACAGCUUGGUGAUGGGCGCCUGUCCCGCCCCCCACGGGGGCGCGGACUCGCCUCAAAUGCAUUGGCGGCCGGCGACCUGGCUUCGAGCGCAGCAGAAACGCGUACUCGGGGACCGGGCGCCCGCUCCCAGAAGCCAACCCACCCGGUUUGACCUCGGAUCAGGUAGGGAUACCCGCUGAACUUAAGCAUAUCAAUAAGCGGGGA
This 339-nucleotide unclassified non-coding RNA is filed under the name soil metagenome. Its description in RNAcentral is "partial contains 5.8S ribosomal RNA, internal transcribed spacer 2, and large subunit ribosomal RNA". The stretch from base 1 to 120 matches the Rfam family "5.8S ribosomal RNA", at positions 35 to 154 of the family's 154-position model. The record is from RNAcentral.